This 1320-nucleotide long non-coding RNA is filed under the name Callithrix jacchus (white-tufted-ear marmoset). Its description in RNAcentral is "lncRNA (ENSCJAG00000078597.1)". Lineage: Eukaryota; Metazoa; Chordata; Mammalia; Primates; Cebidae. The record is from RNAcentral.
AUGGAUGAUGCCCCAGGCAUGGAUGAUGCCACAACAGUGGAUGAUGUCCCAGCAGUGGAUGAUGCCCCAGGCACGGAUGAUGUCCCAGCAGUGGAUGAUGCCCCAUGCGUGGAUGAUGCCCCAGGCAUAAAUGAUGUCCCAAUAGUGGAUGAUUUCCUAGGCGUAAAUGUCUCAGCAGUGGAUGAUGUCCCAGCAGUGGAUGAUGUUCCAGGCAUGGAUGAUGUCCCAGCAGUGGAUGAUGCCACAGCAGUGGAUGAUGUCCCACCAGUGGAUGAUGCCCCAGGUGUGGAUGAUGCCCCAGGCAUGGAUGUCCCAGCAGUGGAUGAUGUCCCAGCAGUGGAUGAUGUCCCAGCAGUCGAUGAUGUUCCAGCAGUGGAUGAUGCCGCAGGUGUGGAUGAUGCUCCAGGCGUGGAUGAUGCCACAGCAGUGGAUGAUGCCCCAGGAAUGGAUAAUGCCCAAGCAGUAAAUGAUACCCCAGGCGUGGAUGAUAUCCCAGCAGUCGAUGAUGCCCCAGGCAUGGAUGAUGUCCCAGCAGUGGAUGAUGUCCCAGCAGUGGAUGAUGCCCCAGGCCUGGAUGAUGCUCUAGGUGUGGAUGAUGCCCCAGGCGUGGAUGAUGUCCCAGGCAUAAAUGAUGUCCCAGCAGUGGAUGAUGCCCCAGGCAUGGAUGAUGUCCCAGCAGUAAAUGAUGUCCCAGCAGUGGAUGAUGCCCCAGGCGUGGAUGAUGCCCCAGGUGUGGAUGAUGCCACAGCAGUGGAUGAUGCCCCAGGUGUGGAUGAUGCCCCGGGUGUGGAUGUCCCAGCAGUGGAUGUCGUCCCAGCAGUGGAUGACGUCCCAGCAGUGGAUGACGUCCCAGCAGUGGAUGACGUUCCAGGCAUGGAUGAUGCCACAGCAGUGGAUGAUGCCCCAGGUGUGGAUGAUGUCCCAGGUGUGGAUGAUGUCCCAGCAGUGGAUGAUGCCCCAGGCAUGGAUGGUGUCCCAGCAGUGGAUGAUGUCCCAGCGGUGGAUGAUGUCCCAGCAGUGGAUGAUGCCCCAGGUAUGGAAGAUGCUCCAGGCAUAAAUGAUGCCCAUCUAUGGAUGAUGCCCCAGGCGUGGAUGAUGUACCAGCAGUCGAUGAUGUCCCAGCAGUGGAUGAUGCCCCAGGUGUGGAUGAUGCUCUGGUCGUGGAUGAUGCCACAGAAGAUGAUGCCACAGGGAUGGAUAAUGCCCCAGCAGUGGAUACCCCAAACGUGGAUGAUGUCCCAGCAGUGGAUGAUGGCCGAGGCAUCGAUGAUGCCCCAGGAGUGGAUGAAGCCCCAGCAAUGGAUGAUGCCUGAGGCGUAG